Molecule: ribosomal RNA, 468 nt
Filed under: uncultured bacterium
Lineage: Bacteria
Description: partial 16S ribosomal RNA
Rfam family: Bacterial small subunit ribosomal RNA
Source: RNAcentral
GACGAACGCUGGCGGCGCGCCUAACACAUGCCAGUCGAACGGAGCUGAGAGAAGCUUGCUUUUCUUAGCUUAGUGGCGAACGGGUGAGUAACGCGUGAGUAACCUGCCCUGGAGUGGGGGACAACAGUUGGAAACGACUGCUAAUACCGCAUAAGCCCACGAUCCGGCAUCGGAUUGAGGGAAAAGGAUUUAUUCGCUUCAGGAUGGACUCGCGUCCAAUUAGCUAGUUGGUGAGGUAACGGCCCACCAAGGCGACGAUUGGUAGCCGGACUGAGAGGUUGAACGGCCACAUUGGGACUGAGACACGGCCCAGACUCCUACGGGAGGCAGCAGUGGGGGAUAUUGCACAAUGGGGGAAACCCUGAUGCAGCGACGCCGCGUGGAGGAAGAAGGUUUUCGGAUUGUAAACUCCUGUCGUGAGGGACGAUAAUGACGGUACCUAACAAGAAAGCACCGGCUAACUACGUG